CCUACGGGAGGCAGCAGUGGGGAAUAUUGCACAAUGGGGGAAACCCUGAUGCAGCGACGCCGCGUGAGUGAAGAAGUAAUUCGUUAUGUAAAGCUCUAUCAGCAGGGAAGAAAAUGACGGUACUUGAGUCAGUAGCCCCUGCUAACUACGUGCCAGCAGCCGCGGUAAUACGGAGGGGGCAAGCGUUAUCCGGAUUUACUGGGUGUAAAGGGAGCGUAGACGGCAGGGCAAGUCUGGAGUGAAAGCCGGGGGCUCAACCAGCGGACUGCUCUGGAAACUGUACGGCUGGAGUGCAGGAGAGGUAAGUAGAAUUCCAGGUGUAGCGGUGAAAUGCGUAGAUAUUAGGAGGAACACCAGUGGCGAAGGCGGCUUACUGGACUGUAACUGACGUUGAGGCUCGAAAGCGUGGGGAGCAAACAGGAUUAGAUACCCGUGUAGUC
Molecule: ribosomal RNA, 440 nt
Filed under: uncultured bacterium
Lineage: Bacteria
Description: partial 16S ribosomal RNA
Rfam family: Bacterial small subunit ribosomal RNA
Source: RNAcentral